RNAcentral lists this long non-coding RNA (317 nucleotides) under Gossypium barbadense (sea-island cotton). RNAcentral's name for it is "long non-coding RNA (GBAR_LNC013818)". Lineage: Eukaryota; Viridiplantae; Streptophyta; Magnoliopsida; Malvales; Malvaceae. The record is from RNAcentral.
CCCCAUAUAACCAAAGAUCCUAUAGAAACUAACAGCCAACCAAUUCUUCAGAAGAAACUCAGUAACAUCGCUCAUGAUAUAUUCACCACCAUGCCUUAAACAUUCUAGGCUUUUUUAUUCCAACUAACGCCAAAGCAGAGGCCAUCUCAUUUCCGUGCUUCUCAGCCUUCGAGAAGGAAACAUUACCUACUCUAUCCAUUCUGUUUUUGAUAUCCUUGAAGAUAGAUUGUAGCAUCCAUGGUCUCAGCCUUUUUUUUCAAUUCAACUAAACACCUCAUUUGAUCCAAUCUCAAUGAUUAGAGAGCCUUUACCUUUCC